Molecule: ribosomal RNA, 257 nt
Filed under: uncultured prokaryote
Description: partial 16S ribosomal RNA
Rfam family: Bacterial small subunit ribosomal RNA
Source: RNAcentral
UACGUAGGUGGCAAGCGUUGUCCGGAUUUACUGGGUGUAAAGGGCGUGUAGGCGGGCUGUCAAGUCAGAUGUGAAAUCUAUGGGCUUAACCCAUAACGUGCAUUUGAAACUGAUAGUCUUGAGUGAUGGAGAGGCAGGCGGAAUUCCUAGUGUAGCGGUGAAAUGCGUAGAUAUUAGGAGGAACACCAGUGGCGAAGGCGGCCUGCUGGACAUUAACUGACGCUGAGGCGCGAAAGCGUGGGGAGCAAACAGGAUUA